RNAcentral lists this non-coding RNA (76 nucleotides) under Nostoc sp. Its description in RNAcentral is "Fluoride sequence". It matches the Rfam family "Fluoride riboswitch aptamer (crcB RNA motif)". The record is from RNAcentral. RNAcentral also lists the same sequence under 1 other name. Lineage: Bacteria; Bacillati; Cyanobacteriota; Cyanophyceae; Nostocales; Nostocaceae.
AAGAACAGUGGUGAUGAAACUCGCCUUCUGGAAUAACCAGAAAACCGCCUGUGGGGCUGAUAGUUUCUAGUUCAAU